RNAcentral lists this long non-coding RNA (286 nucleotides) under Gossypium raimondii (Peruvian cotton). RNAcentral describes it as "long non-coding RNA (GRAI_LNC005782)". The record is from RNAcentral. Lineage: Eukaryota; Viridiplantae; Streptophyta; Magnoliopsida; Malvales; Malvaceae.
UUUUUUAUGAUAGCGCUAUAGAUUCGGAGCUUAGCAACACUCUCAUUGUUUUAAUUCUAACCAAUCGAUCUUUAUUCUGUGUUAUACAAGCUGGUUAUGAAUGUAACCCCCAAACCCGGCCUAGACGUUAUGGGCAAAUCUGGCGAUGUCACAUAGAAUAGGAUUUGAAGACAAGAAUGUCGAGUUAAAACUGUUACAGUUAGUUAGCUUUUAUUUAAUUCAGAAAAAUAAGUACUAGUUUAUUUGUUUUAAAAAUUGUCUCUUAGCGGAAGCUUUUAUAACCAAU